Long non-coding RNA from Abrus precatorius (Indian licorice), 467 nucleotides. RefSeq lists it as uncharacterized. The record is from RefSeq and is a predicted model, not a curated record. Lineage: Eukaryota; Viridiplantae; Streptophyta; Magnoliopsida; Fabales; Fabaceae. The transcript is spliced from 3 exons.
UGUUCUUCUUCCACAUGAGAUGACAUCCGAAGCUCAUGUAAAAAGAGACUGCUUUGUAGUUCGUCAACAGUCAUCGUCUCGGUAUUCUUAGAUUCCUCAAUGGAACACACAACAUAAUCGAAUUUGGGAGUCAUGGAUCUUAGAAUUUUCUCAACAACUGCAACAUCACCUUUGUUUUCACCAUUAGCCUUCAUCUUGUUUGCAAUGUAUCCUUAUUGAGGAUUGUUUCCAGAACUGAACGAUCCAGCGCCUGAAAUAGAUACUGGGAUGCCAUCUUGCACCAGCCCCUAGUACUCCUUAGAUCUCAGGAAGUUCUCCAUUAGCAUAGCCCAGUGGUCAUAAUGCCCAUCAAAUUUUGGUAUUGCGGGCUGCACAAAUGAGUUUUCUGAUGCCAUUGCGUGUGAUAGUUAGAAGACUGCAACUCCUACUGUGGUGAUCAGGCCCCGGAAUGGAGCUCUGAUACCAUA